GGAAUAUUGGACAAUGGGGGGAACCCUGAUCCAGCCAUGCCGCGUGUGUGAAGAAGGCCUUUUGGUUGUAAAGCACUUUAAGCGAGGAGGAGGCUCCCUAGACUAAUACUCUAGGAGAGUGGACGUUACUCGCAGAAUAAGCACCGGCUAACUCUGUGCCAGCAGCCGCGGUAAUACAGAGGGUGCAAGCGUUAAUCGGAUUUACUGGGCGUAAAGGGUACGUAGGUGGUCUUUUAAGUCGGAUGUGAAAUCCCUGAGCUUAACUUAGGAAUUGCAUUCGAUACUGGGAGACUAGAGUAUGGGAGAGGAUGGUAGAAUUCCAGGUGUAGCGGUGAAAUGCGUAGAGAUCUGGAGGAAUACCGAUGGCGAAGGCAGCCAUCUGGCCUAAUACUGACACUGAGGUACGAAAGCAUGGGGAGCAAACAGGAUUAGAUACCCCGG
Molecule: ribosomal RNA, 441 nt
Filed under: uncultured Acinetobacter sp.
Lineage: Bacteria; Pseudomonadati; Pseudomonadota; Gammaproteobacteria; Moraxellales; Moraxellaceae
Description: bacterial SSU rRNA
Rfam family: Bacterial small subunit ribosomal RNA
Source: RNAcentral